RNAcentral lists this ribosomal RNA (245 nucleotides) under uncultured delta proteobacterium. RNAcentral describes it as "partial 16S ribosomal RNA". It matches the Rfam family "Bacterial small subunit ribosomal RNA", at positions 524 to 767 of the family's 1533-position model. Lineage: Bacteria; Deltaproteobacteria. The record is from RNAcentral.
UACGGAGGGUGCAAGCGUUGUUCGGAAUCAUUGGGCGUAAAGAGCGUGUAGGUGGUUAAAUAAGUCAGAUGUGAAAUCCCUUGGCUCAACUGAGGAAGUGCAUCUGAAACUGUUUAGCUUGAGUACGGGUGGGGAAUGGCGGAAUUCCCAGUGUAGAGGUGAAAUUCAUAGAUAUUGGGAGGAACACCGGUGGCGAAGGCGGCCUUCUAGCCCGAUACUGACACUGAGACGCGAAAGCGUGGGGA